This 197-nucleotide ribosomal RNA is filed under the name uncultured bacterium. RNAcentral's name for it is "partial 16S ribosomal RNA". It matches the Rfam family "Bacterial small subunit ribosomal RNA", at positions 328 to 539 of the family's 1533-position model. The record is from RNAcentral.
ACGCUCGACACCUACGGGAGGCAGCAGUGGGGAAUAUUGCACAAUGGGGGAAACCCUGAUGCAGCAACGCCGCGUGAAGGAAGACGGUUUUCGGAUUGUAAACUUCUGUUCUUAGUGAAGAUAGUGACGGUAGCUAAGGAGCAAGCCACGGCUAACUACGUGCCACAGCCGCGGUAAUCUGAGCGGGCUGGCAAGGC